GAUGAAGAACGUAGCGAAAUGCGAUAAGUAGUGUGAAUUGCAGAAUUCAGUGAAUCAUCGAAUCUUUGAACGCACAUUGCGCCCCUUGGUAUUCCAUGGGGCAUGCCUGUUCGAGCGUCAUUUACACCCUCAAGCUCUGCUUGGUGUUGGGCGUCUGUCCCGCUGCUUUGCGCGGACUCGCCUCAAAGGUAUUGGCAGCGAUCAUGCCAGCUUCUCGCGCAGCACAUUGCGCUUCUUGAAGUUCUGGUGGAUCAGCGUCCAUUAAGCUUACCUUCAUGACUUGACCUCGGAUCAGGUAGGGAUACCCGCUGAACUUAAGCAUAUCAAAAGCGGAGGA
RNAcentral lists this unclassified non-coding RNA (337 nucleotides) under soil metagenome. RNAcentral describes it as "partial contains 5.8S ribosomal RNA, internal transcribed spacer 2, and large subunit ribosomal RNA". The stretch from base 1 to 120 matches the Rfam family "5.8S ribosomal RNA", at positions 35 to 154 of the family's 154-position model. The record is from RNAcentral.